This 468-nucleotide ribosomal RNA is filed under the name uncultured bacterium. Its description in RNAcentral is "partial 16S ribosomal RNA". It matches the Rfam family "Bacterial small subunit ribosomal RNA", at positions 28 to 507 of the family's 1533-position model. The record is from RNAcentral.
GACGAACGCUGGCGGCGUGCUUAACACAUGCAAGUCGAACGGAAAGACCCUGCUUUUGUGGGGUGCUCGUGUGGCGAACGGGUGAGUAACACGUGAGUAACCUGCCCUUGACUUUGGGAUAACUUCUGGAGACUGGGGCUAAUACCGGAUAGGAGCUCCUGAUGCAUGGUGGGGGUUGGAAAGAUUCGGCGGUGGGGGAUGGACUCGAGGCUUAUGAGCUUGUUUGUGGGGUAGUGGCUGACCAAGGCUUUGACGGGUAGGCGGCCUGGGAGGGGGACCGGCCACAUUAGGACUGAGAUACGGCGCAGUAGGCUAUGGGCGGCAGCAGUGGGGAAUCUUGCGGAAUGGGCGGAAGCCUGAGGCAGCAACCCUGGGAGCGGGAUGCCGUGUUUCGGGUUGUAAACCGAUGUGGCCGUAGAUGAAGCGUGCUUGACGGUAAUGGGUAAGGAAGCACCGGCUAACUACGUG